GAUGAACGCUGGCGGCGUGCCUAAUACAUGCAAGUCGAGCGAACGGACGAGAAGCUUGCUUCUCUGAUGUUAGCGGCGGACGUGUGAGUAACACGUGGAUAACCUACCUAUAAGACUGGGAUAACUUCGGGAAACCGUAGCUAAUACCGGAUAAUAUUUUGAACCGCAUGGUUCAAAAGUGAAAGACGUUCUUGCUGUCACUUAUAGCUGGUUCCACGCUGCAUUAGAUAGUUGGUAAGGUAACGGCUUACCAAGGCAACGAUGCAUAGCCGACCUGAGAGGGGGAUCGGCCAAACUGGAACUGAGACACGGUACAGAAGACUACGGGAGGAAGCAGUAGGGAAUCUUCCGCAAAGGGCGAAAGCCUGACGGAGAAACGCCGCGGGAGUGAUGAAGGUCUUCGGAUCGUAAAACUCUGUUAUUAGGGAAGAACAAAUGUGUAAGUAAAUGUGCACAGCGUGACGGUACCUAAUCAGAAAGCCACGGCUAACUACGUG
Molecule: ribosomal RNA, 497 nt
Filed under: uncultured bacterium
Lineage: Bacteria
Description: partial 16S ribosomal RNA
Rfam family: Bacterial small subunit ribosomal RNA
Source: RNAcentral